RNAcentral lists this ribosomal RNA (435 nucleotides) under uncultured Oscillospira sp. RNAcentral describes it as "partial 16S ribosomal RNA". It matches the Rfam family "Bacterial small subunit ribosomal RNA", at positions 343 to 792 of the family's 1533-position model. Lineage: Bacteria; Bacillati; Bacillota; Clostridia; Eubacteriales; Oscillospiraceae. The record is from RNAcentral.
AGAAGGCAGCAGUGGGGAAUAUUGGGCAAUGGGCGCAAGCCUGACCCAGCAACGCCGCGUGAAGGAAGAAGGCUUUCGGGUUGUAAACUUCUUUUAUAAGGGACGAAGAAAGUGACGGUACCUUAUGAACAAGCCACGGCUAACUACGUGCCAGCAGCCGCGGUAAUACGUAGGUGGCAAGCGUUAUCCGGAUUUACUGGGUGUAAAGGGCGUGUAGGCGGGACUGCAAGUCAGAUGUGAAAACCAUGGGCUCAACCUGUGGCCUGCAUUUGAAACUGUAGUUCUUGAGUACUGGAGAGGCAGGCGGAAUUCCGUGUGUAGCGGUGAAAUGCGUAGACAUACGGAGGAACACCAGUGGCGAAGGCGGCCUGCUGGACAGCAACUGACGCUGAGGCGCGAAAGCGUGGGGAGCAAACAGGAUUAGAUACCCUGGUA